AAAAGGCAAGAAGAAUUGCAAGUGAGAAGCUAAGAGAAGAUCUGGAAAUUAUGGGAAGCAACAUCAAGAAAGAACACAAUAUAUACAAGUUUACCCAAGGAUGGAGAGCACCAAUCAGUGCAUCUUAUUGGUCAGAUUACAGGUUUUAUUAAUCCCUUGAACAAAGAUGUAAGAGAUAAGCUUUAUGAGAUGGUGGGAUACGGGGUCACAAGUGUAUCAGAAAUGCGACGCCAUUAAAAAGUAUAUGUGGAUACCCAUAUGUUCCCCAAAGUUAAUAAACCUUCACUGACAGAUGCGGCAUAUUACCCAUCAGAUGUCACAAUAAGAAAGCACAAAUACUUAGCACAACUUUGUCUUAGGUAUUCCAAAAUAGACC
This is a long non-coding RNA of Saccostrea echinata, 376 nucleotides long. RefSeq lists it as uncharacterized. The record is from RefSeq and is a predicted model, not a curated record. The transcript has 3 exons. NCBI's taxonomy places the organism in Eukaryota, Metazoa, Mollusca, Bivalvia, Ostreida, Ostreidae.